Molecule: ribosomal RNA, 492 nt
Filed under: uncultured bacterium
Lineage: Bacteria
Description: partial 16S ribosomal RNA
Rfam family: Bacterial small subunit ribosomal RNA
Source: RNAcentral
AGUGAACGCUGGCGGUAGGCCUAACACAUGCAAGUCGAACGGCAGCACAGUAAGAGCUUGCUCUUACGGGUGGCGAGUGGCGGACGGGUGAGGAAUACAUCGGAAUCUACUUUUUCGUGGGGGAUAACGUAGGGAAACUUACGCUAAUACCGCAUACGACCUACGGGUGAAAGCAGGGGAUCUUCGGACCUUGCGCGAUUGAAUGAGCCGAUGUCGGAUUAGCUAGUUGGCGGGGUAAAGGCCCACCAAGGCGACGAUCCGUAGCUGGUCUGAGAGGAUGAUCAGCCACAAUGGAACUGAGACACGGUCCCGACUCCUACGGGAGGCAGCAGUGGGGAAUAUUGGACAAUGGGCGCAAGCCUGAUCCAGCCAUACCGCGUGGGUGAAGAAGGGCUUCGGGUUGUAAAGCCCUUUUGUUGGGAAAAAAAAGCAGCAGGUUAAUACCACGCUGUUCUGACGGUACCCAAAGAAUAAGCACCGGCUAACUUCGUG